UUGAAGGCUGGAAUGAAUGGUUGAACAAAAAAUAGUCUGUCUCGUUGUUAAAGUUAAAAUUUGACUUUUAAGUAAAAAGGCUUAAAUAAAAUAGAAUGACGAUAAGACCCUAUAAAGCUUUAUAUUUAAAAAAUAACUAAUAAUUAAAAUUUAAAAAUUGUUUAUUUAGGAAAUAUUGUGUUGGGGCGACAAAAAUAAAAAUUGUAACUGUUUAUUUAUUAAAAACUUUGAAUAAAAGAAAAAAUGAUCCUUUAAUAAAGAUUAAAAGAUUAAGUUACUUUAGGGAUAACAGCGUAAUCUUUUUUGAGAGUUCAUAUCGACAAAAAGACUUGCGACCUCGAUGUUGAAUUAAGAAAUCCUUUUGGUGCAGCAAUCAAAAAG
This 381-nucleotide ribosomal RNA is filed under the name Anaspides richardsoni. RNAcentral describes it as "partial 16S ribosomal RNA". The stretch from base 285 to 381 matches the Rfam family "Bacterial large subunit ribosomal RNA", at positions 2473 to 2569 of the family's 2925-position model. Lineage: Eukaryota; Metazoa; Arthropoda; Malacostraca; Anaspidacea; Anaspididae. The record is from RNAcentral.